CAGUGGUGCUCACUGCCUUUCUGGACUUGGAUGCAGGCAGACACACCUUUGGGUCUCUCCUGCCAGUCAAGAAGACUGAUCAGAGUGAGUGUCAACACUCCCAUCCACAGACAGUUGUGUGGGGAAACAGACCACCUGAGUCCGAUUUGUAAAAGCUCAUUGGGAUUUUACUUCACCCUGGCCUUAACUGGAAUGGCCCAGAUAAGCACUAUCUCCACCUACCCAUCCCUCCAAUGGACCCAAAUUUAUUUCUGUUCUCUAUUGCAGAGUGUCCAAGAGAGAUGUCUAUGUGCCCACCUUCUGGGUGUCAUAGAAGAGGAAGUUUCCAUGGUUCCUCCUACAAGCUAUCAGGCUCCUCAUUUAUUAAUAUUAAAUGCAUCACAAACAAUAUAGGAUCCAGAUGAACCGCAGAUGGG
Podarcis lilfordi (Lilford's wall lizard) is the source of this 416-nucleotide non-coding RNA. The record is from the annotation of a GenBank genome assembly. NCBI's taxonomy places the organism in Eukaryota, Metazoa, Chordata, Lepidosauria, Squamata, Lacertidae.